GUACCCUGGUAGUCUACGCUGUAAACGAUGUCGACUUGGAGGUUGUGCCCUUGAGGCGUGGCUUCCGGAGCUAACGCGUUAAGUCGACCGCCUGGGGAGUACGGCCGCAAGGUUAAAACUCAAAUGAAUUGACGGGGGCCCGCACAAGCGGUGGAGCAUGUGGUUUAAUUCGAUGCAACGCGAAGAACCUUACCUACUCUUGACAUCCACGGAAUUCGCCAGAGAUGGCUUAGUGCCUUCGGGAACCGUGAGACAGGUGCUGCAUGGCUGUCGUCAGCUCGUGUUGUGAAAUGUUGGGUUAAGUCCCGCAACGAGCGCAACCCUUAUCCUUUGUUGCCAGCACGUAAUGGUGGGAACUCAAAGGAGACUGCCGGUGAUAAACCGGAGGAAGGUGGGGAUGACGUCAAGUCAUCAUGGCCCUUACGAGUAGGGCUACACACGUGCUACAAUGGCAUAUACAAAGAGAAGCGAACUCGCGAGAGCAAGCGGACCUCAUAAAGUAUGUCGUAGUCCGGAUUGGAGUCUGCAACUCGACUCCAUGAAGUCGGAAUCGCUAGUAAUCGUAGAUCAGAAUGCUACGGUGAAUACGUUCCCGGGCCUUGUACACACCGCCCGUCACACCAUGGGAGUGGGUUGCAAAAGAAGUAGGUAGCUUAACCUUCUGUGACGGGCG
This 673-nucleotide ribosomal RNA is filed under the name bacterium LB-27. Its description in RNAcentral is "bacterial SSU rRNA". It matches the Rfam family "Bacterial small subunit ribosomal RNA", at positions 782 to 1452 of the family's 1533-position model. The record is from RNAcentral.